This 2283-nucleotide unclassified non-coding RNA is filed under the name Hevea brasiliensis (rubber tree). Lineage: Eukaryota; Viridiplantae; Streptophyta; Magnoliopsida; Malpighiales; Euphorbiaceae. The record is from RNAcentral.
AAAAAAAAAAAAAAAAACAUGGGAAAUUGCAGCUGAUGCUGAUGAGUGCAAUACUUUUUAGUCUGCCCCUGGAUUUUAAUGGUAAUAACCUUAACUCUUGGUCUACAACUUUGCUGCUGCCUGCCAGUUUCAGCCGCAUGCCCCUGCUAAGUGCAGAAAAUAAAAAUUUGAACUGUAGCAUUACAGCGGACUAUACAAUUUCAUGCGUAAUUGUCACAUAAAUCAGAUCAAGAUCAUGCAAAGUUAGUUUCUGUAAUCAACUACUUUCAGCAAUAUAUAGCAUCUUUAUUUGAUUCGCUCGUAAAUAGAAAAGACCACAACAAUUCAGCAUCAGUGCAGCUAAGAGCUUUUCCCGUGUUGAACUAGUUUUUUCAGGAGAAAAAAGUAACAAACUUUUCUAGACUGCAUAAUCAUGGAUAUUUGCAGUUUCUCAAAUGUCUGAAACAUCCAAACCAGAAAUCUAGAGUCUUUGAGUAAUGGAUCAAACACAAUAAGAAGAAGGGAAUGCUUAAAGUCAAAUUCACGUAUGUAGAACCAUAAAUCAUAAAGUAACAUUAAUGAGACUGCUCAACUUCUAACUGGCUAGUUGAUGGGUUUUUCUUGGCAAUGUUGUGCUUGUUGUUGUGCAUCCACACUUUGAGAACCCUUCUCUUAAUUCCAAUGUCUUGGCAAAAUCGCUGCACAGCAGAUUCUUCUAGCUUCUGCAUUUUCCAUCCAGCCUUCUCCGCAAAGCUGAGCAUCUUUUGCUUUUGUUCUUCUGUGAACUUGGUCCUGAACCGCUUUCUCGGCUUCUCAACUGACCUAAUUGCCGCUGCUCCAUCUCCAUUAUCAUCAUCAUCCUUCUCAUCAGAUUCUGAAGGGACAGAACCACUUCUAUAGGAGACUAUCAUCUGGUGAGUCGGUGGGACCCUUGAGGAAAGGAAGGAGUUAGGACACCCUUGUGGUGAUCCAUUUAUCCCAUUGUGAUGGCCCAAAAUGAUUUUGCUCCCAGAAUUUCCGUGGAUAGAAGAGUGAUAAAAAUCGUAUAAGCACUCGCCUUCUAUCUCUUUCCUGUGAAAGUUUCUGUGGCAACUGCAGGCUGAGCACUUUAGGGCCUCGAGGGUGCCUUGUUCACCACUUGGCAUGAACUCACCACACCCAUCUGUUGCAUUCCCACCUAUAGCCGCUGCAUGGUUCUUGAGGCAUUCCUUGUACCUCACCACUUUCUUGUAUCGCCUUUGAUCCUGCAGCUGCAGGCUCGAAGGGGCACCCGUAGGUUCAUUGUAGGAUAGUUGGGAUGCUGCUGAAGUGAUGAUGUGGCAAUUUUCUCUUGCAUAACCGCCGUUUCUUGAGAUGGGCAUGUCCUCCUUUGCUGGACAUAAGUUGUUCAUUUCUUUUUCUCCCUCCAUAAUAAACAAUUCGAUAUGUUACUUUUUUUGCGUGUUUUUUCUGUGAACUUGUUCGGCAGUUAGUCACCUAAUUCUCCCUCAAAGCUAAUACAUAUUUGUGAUGGCAAAGGCUUGAAAUGUCUACAAGGUGCGGACUUUUCUCUUUUUACUAUUCCCUUAUAAAGCCCAGGGAGAAGAGAAAAGAACUGGGGUGGAUGUCUAUAAUGGAAAGGGCGAACCAAGGGUACGAUGAAGAUUAUCAAUGAACACAGGCCAAGACUAAUUGAAGGAAGCUAGCAUUGGAUACUUUCUGAAAAAUGUUCAGCUUAAAUGUUUCUGAUGGCCGGGAUAAGUCACUGAUAUUGUACGUGCACUCUGCUUUUAUGAAGAGAGAGAGCCAAGGUAAUAGAAUAUAGAACAAAUAGAGUUGCAGUGGUUAAUUUUGCAAGUGAAGCAACAAUGUAGAGCUUAUAUAUAAAUAUAUAUUAUUAAAGAGUGAGGGAUGGCGUUGGGCUGAAGGGAUUGAAGUUUUUAAUGGUGGAUUUAGCUAGUAAAGCAACUAAUAGAAGCCUAACUAGGGUUCUAAUUUAUUGAGAGAGAGAGAGAGAGAAGAGGCAGCUUCCAACUUACAAGCUAUGUGGAAUCACCCCACAGGACCCAAAACCAGUGAGUUAACUCUGAUAGUUUCAUUUGGAUCCAUUUUUUCAAGGCUUUUUUCUGAUGAGCAGAAAAUAUCACAAAAAUAUCUGAUUUUUAAGAUGCAAUACUCUAUCGCUUUUUGAUUUAUAUGAUUUGCAACUCCUUUGGUCUAUUGGUCUUUCUUUCCCGAAGUUCCCAAUUUAUGGUGCUUUUGUGGUUCAUUUUUUUCCCCUUCUUAGUUUGUGCCUGCACUUCUUGCAUUUAUAACAAUUCACUC